CAUGCUUUCACCAGGCACAUUCACAGAUGAAGGACCUGCGUUCCAUCGCUCAUCUGAAGUCAUUCUAAUUCUCCAGUUGGAACAUUAUUCAAGAUAUAUGUAAACAACAUUCUAAAGAUUGAUUCAGUACAUCGUUUGACAUGUUUCUACUGACUGUUAUGGAACUUUGGGACAUUUUGUCACGUUACAGUGGACGCGCUUUGUGACUUUGGAAUUGUUUACCAAACGCGCUAACCAAAGUAGCUAAUUGGACAUAAAUGACAGACAUUUUCGAACAAAUCAAGCAUUUAUUGUGGACCUGGGAUUUCUAGGACUGCAUUCUGAUGAAGUUCAUCAAAGCUCUGUCUAUUUGUGUUACGCGGAGUGGAACAGGGGAACCCAAGAGCAGACUCAGGCGAGGAGACUGGGAUGAAGUAACCAAGCCCAGUCUCCUCUGCCUGCCCUGACCCUGAGCCUGCCUGCCGUUCUGUACCUUACGGACUCUGCCCUGGAUUACAGACCUCUGCCUGCCCUUGACCUGUCGUUUGCCUUCCUCCUGUUUUGACCUGAGCCCUAGGACCAUGCCCCAGGACUACCUGACAUGAUGACUCCUUGCUGUCCCCAGUCCACCUGGCCGUGCUGCUGCUCCAGUUUCAACUGUUCUGCCUUAUUAUUAUUUGACCAUGCUGGUCAUUUAUGAACAUUUGAACAUCUUGGCCAUGCUCUGUUAUAAUCUCCACCCGGCACUGCCAGAAGAGGACUGGCCACCCCACAUAUGCCCUCUCUAAUUCUCUCUCUCUCGGAGGACCUGAGUCCUAGGACCAUGCCCCAGGACUACCUGACAUGAUGACUCCUUGCUGUCCCCAGUCCACCAUACUGUGCUGCUGUUCCAGUUUCAACUGUUCUGCCUUAUUAUUAUACGACCAUGCUGGUCAUUUAUGAACAUUUGAACAUCUUGGCCAUGUUCUGUUAUAAUCUCCACCUGGCACAGCCAGAAGAGGACUGGCCACCCCACAUAGCCUGGUUCCUCUCUAGGUUUCUUCCUAGGUUUUGGCCUUUCUAGGGAGUUUUUCCUAGCCACCGUGCUUCUACACCUGCAUUGCUUGCUGUUUGGGGUUUUAGGCUGGGUUUCUGUACAGCACUUUGAGAUAUCAGCUGAUGUACGAAGGGCUAUAUAAAUAAAUUUGAUUUGAUUUGAAAUUUGAUAUUUCUUUAGACUCCAGGGUUUGAGGGUGGCGACAUCUCAACAUGGCCCUCAUAUUUUUUUAACGUUGAACAACAGUCUUUUGUUUGGUUUAGGAAUGGUGGCUAUAUUUGUUGGUAGAGUGGGGAGUUUCAGUUGUGGAGCAUCCAUAUUUCACUAUCUUGUCCAUUCUUCUCUUCAGCAUAUGAUCAAUCAGCUGGUAUCCGAAAGUCUGUGUGGUUGGUGUGUAAAUCUUCCUGGCCACCCACCCUUUUGACUGUUUAGGGUAUACAGAAUUGUACCUUGGGAUGCCUGAAAAACAACAGUCACACAUUUUAUGUCACAAUAAUUGUAUUUAGAUUUGUGGUGUCUCAUUUGGCUAUAACCAUGAAGAUAAAGACGCUACCAAGUAGGACAAUGACUAAUGAAGGACAUUUAUUUUUAGACGAAAUGGCUAAAGGAGCUGAAAGGAUGGUAAUUCACAAAACCUUUAUUUCAAUUAAGCUGUCCUGGUGAGACAGAACAUUUGUGUUUGUGUUAGAACUAAGGGCAGGUUCUGGAUUGGUUGAUUGGUAUUCAGAGUUGUGUGACUGCCUUUUGGCAUGUACUUCAGCAUUGCGUUGUGAAAUACUUCUAAAGGUCCUAAAAACAUGUUCAGAAGACCGUAGGUCCAGAUAGUCUGAGCCGGUUUGUAUUACCAUUUAUACAAUGGUUGGUUCUUAUCUUGAAUGCUGACUGGUUGAAACUGCAUUCCAGCCGGUGUCUAUUCGACAAGUUACCACUGGCUAAAUCUAUGAAGUUAAAAUGCCUAUUUCCUCUGUUCCAUCUGACUGCGCAAUCCACUGUCUCAUAAGCCCAGCUAGGCAAUUUAUAAACUUGAUCUCCAAUAUAAAAAGCAUCUAGACAUUAUCUCACAUUUAUUUUCAACAAAAAUGUUUUCAUUAGCGGAGAUUUGUAUAAAGCCUGCUGUUUGUCUUUCUGACAUUUGCAACAUUUUCAAUAUUCAAAUUCGAUCUCCAGCUGUCCCAUAGUAAUGAACAACUUUUUCAACUGCUUUGUAUAUAUCCAUAAAAACGUAUGCCAGCUGAUUCAUAAUUUAGACUGGCUGAAAAAGGCAUCGCGGAAGUCGCGAUGAGAAGUCACGAUGAGACAGACAGGCAGCCUUUUUUAGUCAGUCUAAAUUAUGAAUCAGCUGGCAUGAGUUUUUAUGGAUAUAUACAAAGCAAAGUCAGUUGAAAAAAAGGUCAAAUUAAAACAAAUUGCAGCUAGUUUGCAGUCUUUCAAGCUUCAGUUUGAAGUGAUUGUGUUAGCUGUGUUGUUGGCUAGCUUCUCUGAACAAUGGUCCCAAUGAGAGAGCACAUUUUCUAUUCCAGGUGCCUCAUUAGCACAUUGUUAUGGAUGUAUCCAAAUAAAUGUCACUAGAAAACAAAUGCAGCUACUGUUAGUUUGGCUGCAAUGUUUGACAUGACUGUAAGUUAGCCGUAGUUGGCUAGUUAGCAAGGAAAAUAUAAGAAUGUUGCCAGCCAGUAUGGCAAUGGAACAUUUAGAACGAACAACUGAGUCGCAUCCUUAGAUAGAGAACAAAAAGACUGAACAUGUCACGUUCUGACGUUUAUUUCCUUUGUUUUGUCGUUAUUUAGUAUGGUCAGGGCGUGAGUUGGGGUGGGCAAUUUGUUUUUCUAUGAUUUGGGGAUUUCUAUGUUUCGGCCUAGUAUGGUUCUCAAUCAGAGGCAGGUGUGAUUAGUUGUCUCUGAUUGAGAAUCAUACUUAGGUAGCCUGGGUUUCACUGUUUGUUUGUGGGUGAUUGUCUAUGUUAGUUGCUUGUGUCAUCACAGUUCUCAUUAUAGCUUCACAGUCGUUAUUUGUUUAUUGUUUUGUAUAGUUUGUAUUCAGUGUUCAGUGCUUUUUUUUCAUUAAAAACUUCAUCAUGAACACAUACCACGCUGCAUUUUGGUCCGGUCCUUACGACGAUUGUGACAUAACAACUGGCAACCGGACCUAUAGAAUGAACGACCAGCCGGCUUGUGUAGCAAUCCUAGAUAUGCGUCGGGACUAUAUCUUGUGGAUGGAUG
Long non-coding RNA from Oncorhynchus tshawytscha (Chinook salmon), 3234 nucleotides. The record is from Ensembl. NCBI's taxonomy places the organism in Eukaryota, Metazoa, Chordata, Actinopteri, Salmoniformes, Salmonidae.